RNAcentral lists this ribosomal RNA (491 nucleotides) under uncultured bacterium. Its description in RNAcentral is "partial 16S ribosomal RNA". It matches the Rfam family "Bacterial small subunit ribosomal RNA", at positions 29 to 506 of the family's 1533-position model. The record is from RNAcentral.
AGUGAACGCUGGCGGUAGGCCUAACACAUGCAAGUCGAACGGCAGCACAGUAAGAGCUUGCUCUUACGGGUGGCGAGUGGCGGACGGGUGAGGAAUACAUCGGAAUCUACUUUUUCGUGGGGGAUAACGUAGGGAAACUUACGCUAAUACCGCAUACGACCUACGGGUGAAAGCAGGGGAUCUUCGGACCUUGCGCGAUUGAAUGAGCCGAUGUCGGAUUAGCUAGUUGGCGGGGUAAAGGCCCACCAAGGCGACGAUCCGUAGCUGGUCUGAGAGGAUGAUCAGCCACACUGGAACUGAGACACGGGCCAGACCCCUAGGGGGGGCAGGAGGGGGGAAUUUUGGAAAAGGGGCGAAAGCCUGAUCCAGCCAACCCGGGGGGGGGAAGAAGGCCUUCGGGUUGUAAAGCCCUUUUUUUGGGAAAAAAAAGCAGCAGGUUAAUCCCCCUCUGUUCUGAGGGUACCAAAAAAAAAAGCACCGGCUAACUUCGU